GCCUACGGGGGGCAGCAGUAGGGAAUAUUGCUCAAUGGGGGAAACCCUGAAGCAGCAACGCCGCGUGGAGGAUGAAGGUUUUCGGAUUGUAAACUCCUUUUGUUAGAGAAGAUAAUGACGGUAUCUAACGAAUAAGCACCGGCUAACUCCGUGCCAGCAGCCGCGGUAAUACGGAGGGUGCAAGCGUUACUCGGAAUCACUGGGCGUAAAGAGCGCGUAGGCGGGAUGGCAAGUCAGAUGUGAAAUCCUAUGGCUUAACCAUAGAACUGCAUUUGAAACUGUUAUUCUAGAUUAUGGGAGAGGUA
RNAcentral lists this ribosomal RNA (305 nucleotides) under uncultured bacterium. Its description in RNAcentral is "bacterial SSU rRNA". It matches the Rfam family "Bacterial small subunit ribosomal RNA", at positions 337 to 659 of the family's 1533-position model. The record is from RNAcentral.